This 28-nucleotide small RNA is filed under the name Bombyx mori (domestic silkworm). Its description in RNAcentral is "ovarian small RNA-35528". Lineage: Eukaryota; Metazoa; Arthropoda; Insecta; Lepidoptera; Bombycidae. The record is from RNAcentral.
UGUAUUAUUUUAAAUGCUAGACACAUAG